UCCCUGGUGGCCCAGGGGAUAAAGCGUCUGCCUGCAAUGCAGGAGACCCGGGUUCGAUCCCUGGGUUGGGAA
This 72-nucleotide transfer RNA is filed under the name Ovis aries (sheep). It matches the Rfam family "tRNA". From Rfam's summary of the family: Transfer RNA (tRNA) molecules are approximately 80 nucleotides in length. Their secondary structure includes four short double-helical elements and three loops (D, anti-codon, and T loops). Lineage: Eukaryota; Metazoa; Chordata; Mammalia; Artiodactyla; Bovidae. The record is from Rfam by way of RNAcentral.